CAAGUCGAACGAGAAAGCGGGGGCAACCUCGUGAGUAAAGUGGCGUACGGGUGAGUAACACGUGGGUAAUCUACCUCUAGUGGGGAAUAACGCUGGGAAACCGGCGCUAAUACCGCAUAAGCUCGAGAGAGGAAAGCAGCAAUGCGCUGAGAGAGGAGCCCGCGGUCGAUUAGCUAGUUGGUGAGGUAAGAGCUCACCAAGGCAAAGAUCGAUAGCCGGCCUGAGAGGGCACACGGCCACACUGGCACUGGGACACGGGCCAGACUCCUACGGGAGGCAGCAGUGGGGAAUCUUGCACAAUGGGGGCAACCCUGAUGCAGCGACGCCGCGUGAGCGAUGAAGCCCUUCGGGGUGUAAAGCUCUUUCGGCAGGGACGAUAAUGACGGUACCUGCAGAAGCAGCUGCGGCUAACUACGUGCCAGCAGCCGCGGUAAUACGUAGGCAGCGAGCGUUGUUCGGAGUUACUGGGCGUAAAGGGUGUGUAGGCGGUUCUUUAAGUUUGGUGUGAAAUCUCCCGGCUCAACCGGGAGGGUGCGCCGAAUACUGAGGGACUAGAGUAUGGGAUGGGAAAGUGGAAUUCCUGGUGUAGCGGUGAAAUGCGUAGAUAUCAGGAGGAACACCUGUGGUGUAGACGGCUUUCUGGACCAUAACUGACGCUGAGACACGAAAGCGUGGGUAGCAAACAGGAUUAGAUACCCUGGUAGUCCACGCCCUAAACGAUGCAUAUU
This 728-nucleotide ribosomal RNA is filed under the name uncultured Bacillota bacterium. RNAcentral describes it as "bacterial SSU rRNA". It matches the Rfam family "Bacterial small subunit ribosomal RNA", at positions 58 to 817 of the family's 1533-position model. Lineage: Bacteria; Bacillati; Bacillota. The record is from RNAcentral.